This is a non-coding RNA of Heterocephalus glaber (naked mole-rat), 1573 nucleotides long. The record is from RefSeq and is a predicted model, not a curated record. NCBI's taxonomy places the organism in Eukaryota, Metazoa, Chordata, Mammalia, Rodentia, Bathyergidae.
GGCACGGCCAGGCGGGGGUCCGCGCCCUAGAAGCGCCGGGACUGGGAGCCCCAGGAAGGGGUCUGGGUGGGGAGGAGUCCUGGGCCAGCAGCUGGGGAUGGGCGAGGCGUGGGCGGAGUCGGCGCUCUGAGCCCCCACUUCCAGGACCUGCAGGGUCAGCGCCCACUCUUCUCCCAGUAGGAAGGGGGGCGCGGCGGCCGGAUCCCCGCGGCUCCGCGGGGAGGGCGCACCCUGGCUCGAGAUCUCCGCCUUUGCCUGGAUCUCGGCGCACAGCUGGCAGGGCGCCCCCGAGCCCAGGAUCUGGUGCAGAGCAGAUGAAAGAAAGACAUGGGAGUCCCGUGGCUGUCUGGCUGGUCCCACUGGCUAGGACAAAGUACCUGUAUCAGUCAGUGUUUGCAAGAGAACAGACUCAGUGCAGGACACAGAAAUUUACAAGAGUAGCUUAUAAUAUUUGCUCACAGAGUCCAAUGUAUAAGAGUGCAAGAGAUCUCUCCACACAGCAGAGACCCAAGGAAUUCAGCUGAGGGCCUGGAUCCCACGGCAAUGUCCUGUGCAAAUCCACACCAGGAGGCAGAGGAAUCCUUGAUGGAAGACUGAAGGAAAGUCCAAGGGCCCUCGGGAGAGGUCAGAGUCUGAGCCAGCUGAAAGGCUGAUGUUGGAAGCUGAAGAACCCACUCUGAGAACCAGGAGACAAAGCCCAAGGUGAAGGAGAGGCCCAGAGCUCCUCCCAGGAGAACAACAACCAUGCUCAAGGAAUAUGAUUCCUCAUGUGCUCAACAGCAAGGCUUUGAGAAGCAACUGGAUUAUGGGGCUGACUGCUGACUUGAACCUGAGAGCAAAAUAGUUAAUAGCACAAAAGAAUAAAAAAGGAAAGUGAGAUCUUUUGUCUUUUCUUCCUUAAGAUUAAGGAGGAGAAAGUCUGCUGGGGGAGUGACGCAGUAGUGGCAUAGUCAGCGACCAUUAGGGGUGGGGAAGAAGUAAAGCCCUGGACUCCCCUGCUGCUCAUGAAAAGGAUGAUUUCUCUUUUCACCUGGGACAGUCGGGGACUUAAAAGCCAUUUUGCUGUGAACCCCGACUUCUCACCAGGGCCUGCAGAUGCCCCGUAGGUGAAUAAGAGCAGAGCAGAGCCUGACCAUCUUAUAUCCUUUGUUACCACAAAUCUUGGGUCAAAUCUCAGCUCUGCAUAGGGCGUGUGGGUCAUUCCGGGAGUGUCUGUCUAGGAGCUGCAGCACAGGGUUGAUGAGCACUGUACUUAUGUGACCUCAUCCCCCUCGAGACUGAGGACACCAAGAUAAGAGGUUUAUGGGGACAGUCAGCUACACGCAGAAGUCUCCAGCCAUUGUCCCAACCCAUAAGCACCUGGGUUCCAAGAAAGACAGAGCCUGUGUGACUGAGACCCGCACAGACAGAGACGGUCCUUUCCUGAGAUGAGGUCACCCCUGAGCCAGAAAGAGUUCAGAACAAUGACACCAGGCCGGAGAUGAUGAUCAACCUGACCCCAUCCCCAGAUAAUCCCUGAAAGCUGCCUUUGUGGGUCUUCUCCUACCUUUCUUCUUUCCAAUUAAAGCUUUUU